ACAUAGAGAGUUGUCCGCUCAAAGGAAGCGGGCAGAGUAACACAAUUAAGCGCAAUUCCUUUUCGGGUAAGUUCCGAAGCGCACGAAUGGUGUAACGACUGGAGAACUGUCUCAACGAAGAGCUCGGUGAAAAUGCGAUUCCCGUGAAGACGCGGGAUACCUGCAGCAAGACGAAAAGACCCCGGAAGCUUUACUGUAGCUUGGUAUUGGCCUUACGGAAUUCAUGCGUAGCGUAGUGGUGAGGGGUUGAAGCGUUCCUUUCGGGGGACGUGGACCCAACAAUGAAACAGCCAUCUUGAAUUUUGUAAGUUCUAACCCCAUGGGCAAAAACCAUGAGGGACAGUGCCUGGUGGGCAGUUUUAAUGGGGCGUUAUCCUCCAAAAAAGUAACGGAGGAGUUUAAAGGUUGGCUUAGCCCGGAUGGAAAUCGGGCUGGACGUGCAAACGCGAAAGCCAGCUUAACUGCGAGGCCGACAAGCCGAGCAGGCGCGAAAGCGGAAGUUAGCGACCCGACGGUCCUUCAUAGGAAGGCCGGAGAUAUCGGACAAAAGUUACUCCGGGGAUAACAGGCUGGUGUUGCCCGAGCGUCCCUAGCGACGGCAACGCUCGGCACCUCGAUGUCGGCUCGCCCUAGCGCGGGGGUGGAGAAGCUCCCAAGCGUGUGGCUGUUCGCCACUUAAAAGGGCACGUGAGCUGGGUUCAAACCGUCAACCCAUGUUCGAUACGUUUUUAAUUUUCGUAGCCGAAAGGCCUAACGAAAACUAAAAAGUAUCUCACAUAAUUGGACCGAGGACAUCAAACACGGCGGCCCUUGGCAGUAAUACCAAGGAGCGAAACCCUAAAACCGAGAAAUCUCGGUUCGGGUAAAAAAUCGACUCAUAUCGGUGAAGUCCCACAAAGUUCUGACCUGGGCUUAGUGGUGAUAAUACCGAGGGAAGUCUACUGAAAUUGAAAGAAGGAAACGAGAGGCGGGGUGCGCGACGGGAUAGCGCCUUGGUUGACAUCCAGGGAUACGAAGGUUCGAAUCCUUCCCCUGCCUCCAGUCCUUUGCGAAGCAGUCGUGCUUCGCUCCUUCUUUCAGUUUCAGUAUGACCCCGUAGAGACUUAAUCUUGAAAAAAGAUUGGAAUCAGUUUUCGAAAAACUGGUUAACACGUCGAUCCCCCGAUCGCGAUCGGGGUGGUGGUAUAGUCCAAACAAUUAGUAAUAGUUGAGUAUUGCGUGAGACAGGUUGGUCUCUAUCUGUUGCAGGCGAGAGGCACUUGAGGGGAGUCGUCCCUAGUACGAGAGGACCGGGAUGAACGUACCGCUGGUGUACCAGCUUUACUACCAAGUGAAGUGCUGGGUAGCUAUGUACGGAAGGGAUAAGCGCUGAAAGCAUCUAAGCACGAAGCCUACCCCGAGAUAAGGUGCCAGUUCUGGGCCGCAAGGUCCGGAGCAGCGGUUCGUGGAAGACUACCACGUUGAUAGGCUCUAGGUGUAAGGCCGGUAACGGUUUUAGCCGAGGAGUACUAAUAGCCGUGCGACCCGCCCCU
Molecule: ribosomal RNA, 1532 nt
Filed under: Candidatus Woesebacteria bacterium
Lineage: Bacteria; Candidatus Woeseibacteriota
Description: partial 23S ribosomal RNA
Rfam family: Bacterial large subunit ribosomal RNA
Source: RNAcentral